AGUGAACGCUGGCGGUAGGCCUAACACAUGCAAGUCGAACGGUAGCACAGUAAGAGCUUGCUCUUACGGGUGGCGAGUGGCGGACGGGUGAGGAAUACAUCGGAAUCUACUUUUUCGUGGGGGAUAACGUAGGGAAACUUACGCUAAUACCGCAUACGACCUACGGGUGAAAGCAGGGGAUCUUCGGCCCUUGCGCGAUUGAAUGAGCCGAUGUCGGAUUAGCUAGUUGGCGGGGUAAAGGCCCACCAAGGCGACGAUCCGUAGCUGGUAUGAGAGGAUGAUCAGCAACACUGGAACUGAGACACGGUCAAGAAUCCUACGGGAGGCAGCAGUGGGGAAUAUUGGACAAUGGGCGCAAGCCUGAUCCAGCCAUACCACGUGGGUGAAGAAGGCCUUCGGGUUGUAAAGACCUUUUGUUGGGAAAGAAAAGCAGCAGGUUAAUACCCCGCUGUUCUGACGGUACCCAAAGAAUAAGCACCGGCUAACUUCGUG
RNAcentral lists this ribosomal RNA (492 nucleotides) under uncultured bacterium. RNAcentral describes it as "partial 16S ribosomal RNA". It matches the Rfam family "Bacterial small subunit ribosomal RNA", at positions 29 to 507 of the family's 1533-position model. The record is from RNAcentral.